This 350-nucleotide unclassified non-coding RNA is filed under the name soil metagenome. Its description in RNAcentral is "partial contains 5.8S ribosomal RNA, internal transcribed spacer 2, and large subunit ribosomal RNA". The stretch from base 1 to 122 matches the Rfam family "5.8S ribosomal RNA", at positions 35 to 154 of the family's 154-position model. The record is from RNAcentral.
GAUGAAGAACGCAGCGAAAUGCGAUACGUAAUGUGAAUUGCAGAUCUCUCAGUGAAUCAUCGAAUCUUUGAACGCACAUUGCGCCCGCCAGUAUUCUGGCGGGCAUGCCUGUCUGAGCGUCAUUUCAACCCUCAUGCCCCUAGGGCGUGGUGUUGGGGAUCGGCCAAAGCCCGCGAGGGACGGCCGGCCCCUAAAUCUAGUGGCGGACCCGUCGUGGCCUCCUCUGCGAAGUAGUGAUAUUCCGCAUCGGAGAGCGAUGAGCCCCUGCCGUUAAACCCCCAACUUUCCAAGGUUGACCUCAGAUCAGGUAGGAAUACCCGCUGAACUUAAGCAUAUCAAUAAGCGGAGGA